Molecule: long non-coding RNA, 2489 nt
Filed under: Homo sapiens (human)
Lineage: Eukaryota; Metazoa; Chordata; Mammalia; Primates; Hominidae
Description: HSALNT0300689
Source: RNAcentral
CUGGGAAUUACGGGAGCCACAAUUCAAGAUGAGAUUUGGGUGGGGACACAACCAAACCAUAUCAUCAUAUAAAUCCAAACCACAGGCUCCAUGAGCAGAUGAGCAGAGUAGCAGAAGAGCUGUGUGGCAGAGGAGAGAAGAGAAGGAACAUGUGAACGUCGAAAGUUCAUCUGGGGACAGUCAGGGAGGAGAUCAGCCAUGGGAUGGCCAAACUCCAGGGGAAGAUUAUCUUCCUACUCCAUCCCCCUCCAGCUCCCCAUCCAUCCCACUGAGAGCCACCUCCAUCCAGCAAUAAAACCCCCGCAUUUACCAUCUUUCAAUUUGUCCCUGUGACCUGAUUCUUCCUGGAUGCCGGACAAGAACCUGGCAGGGGGGCAUUGAGCUGGUUAACACUUAAGCCAUCUGCAGAUGGCAGAGCUACAAGAGCACUGUAAUGUGCACACUAGGGCUUUGGGAGUUGCAGUCACCCACCCCUAGAUGCUACCGUGGGGCCGGAGCCAAAAGUGCUCACCCUUACUCCUACACCUGCCUGUCUGCAUGCUCCCCCUCCUGUAAGGGGUUUGAGGGCAUGGCAGGCAAACAGAUGAGCCACACCCUUGUCACAUGUCCUGCGAGGGGGAUCAGGGACCUCUCCCAUUUCACUUUUACAGAUGUUAGAUAUAUUAAUGGCAUAGUGUAACUUCUGAUUUUAUUUUUAUAUCCUUGUAACUUAUGUGUUAAUUUUUAUAUGUGUGGUGAAUAUGUUUUGCCUUCCCAACCUUCUUUUCUACCUUUCUCUCUCCUACUAGAAUGCCUCUCUUGUUCAGGUUUCUUUCUUUCAUUGCAUAUUCAUCUACUUUACUUAAUUAAAUGGAAAGACCAAUAAUUCAUUUUCUAUGAUGAAGUGUUUCUUUCCUUCUGUGGCAUGGAACAGGACUUAGCACAGAGUCACACUAUGUACAUAUGGAAUGAUGAAUAGGACGAACAAAUUGUAUAUGGCAUCGGUAUUCAUCUUACUACAACAAAAUGUUAAAGCAAAUAAGAUGGAAUAACAACUAAUAUUUAGUUUAAGGUACUUUUCUAUGGGGUGUGUGUGUGUGUGUGUGUGUGUUUUACUAGCAGUAGGUACUGGGCUCUGUAUGGUAUAUUAGUAAGAGAGUUCAAGCAAGGCAAGCAGUUGUACUUGUGAACCUAUUCUCUUAACCCCUGUGUGAUAAUGCUAUCAGAGAACACAUAGACUAGAAGGGCUUCAGUCUUAGAUGACAUUAUUAAGCUACUGCUCAGACAUCCCUGGAAUCAGACCUACUCCUAGACUUCCAAUUAUAUUAUACGUCAUUGUUUAUAAUAAUACUAAGUAAAGAUUUUUGUUAAGUGAGUAUAAAAGUGUCUUGACUGAGUCCUCAAACUGACCAUCGGGCUGUCUGAUACCGUUGUAGACCUGAUUGAAAAUUCUUGAUCUGGCCACAUACCCUGUUUACAUUGAUGCAGAUUCAACUGGGUGAAAUAACUGUGAACUGGGCAUGUGAAGAGAAAGCUGAAAGCCAUGAUCUCAAGAUGGAAACUUCAGUAUCCAGCAAAGAAAUGGUGAAGGCGUUCGUUAUGUGGGAUAUGCUGUUACCACUGAACUUGAAGUUAUCAAAGAAGUUCUAUUCUUAACCCUUAAUCUGCUCAGGAUGCUGUAACAACACCAUAAACUUUCAAACAACUCUAUUUCCUACGGUUCUGGAGGCUGGAAGUCCACAAUCAAAGUGUCAUGUUGUCAGGUUGUGGUGAGGGCCCUCUUUUGGGUGUAGAUUGCUAACUUUUCUGUAUGUGUUCACAUGGCAGAAAGAGAUUGAGCUAGCUCUUGGAUCCUUUCUUAUAAGGGCACCAAUCCCAAUACAGAGGCUUCACUCUCAUGACAUAAUUGUCUCCCAAAGACUCUACCUCCAAAUAUUAUCAAUCACAUUAGGGGAUAGAUUUUAACACAUGAUUUUGGGGGGAACACAUUCAGUCCAUAACAUUUCUUGAGUCUUCUUCUAGGACCCAUAGGUUAUUUUAAAAGUGGCUUGUUCAGUUCCAAGUGUUUGAAGAUUUUUUUUUUCUGUUAUCUUUAACUUACUGAUUUCUAGAUAGACCCCAUUGUGCUCAGAGAACACUCCUUAUGUGAUUUCAAUUAUUUUAAAUUUGUUGAGAUUUUAUGACUUAGUAUGUCAUCUGUCUUGGUGUGUAUUCUGUGGGGGGGAUGGGGGGUGCUUGAAAAACGGGUAUUCUGCUAUUAUAGAAUGUCAAAAUAUCAACUGUAAUAAACAAGAAAAAUAAUCCUAGUCUUUUAUUUAAGGGCCCUCUUUAGUCCAUCUCAACAGACCCUUCUCCGAAGGGGAAAGAAAUGCAGCUCACAAGAGCCCAUUAAACAACUAAAACAAGACAAAAUAAAACAACUACCCCCUGCCAAUUUGCACACUGUUACUUCUUUUGUUUUCCCAAUCUUAUUUCUUCUUCUUUUUUAUAAUAAAAAAUUUCAAAGCAAU